RNAcentral lists this ribosomal RNA (1710 nucleotides) under Ektaphelenchus obtusus. RNAcentral's name for it is "SSU rRNA". It matches the Rfam family "Eukaryotic small subunit ribosomal RNA". Lineage: Eukaryota; Metazoa; Nematoda; Chromadorea; Rhabditida; Aphelenchoididae. The record is from RNAcentral.
UACAAGUUGAAUGUGAAAAAGUGAAACUGCGAACGGCUCAUUACAACAGGUAUAAUUUACCAGUUGUUCGUUUCUAAACGGAUAACUGCGGUAAUUCUGGAGCUAAUACGUGACGAAAACUUCAAUUCCAUUGGAAUUGGGUGCAUUUAUUAGUGCAAAACCAGUCUUUGAACUGUUUGCUUAAUCCGAAUAACCGUUUAUAUCGCAGGUCUUGAACCGGCGAAAAAUCUGUCAAGUAUCUGCCUUAUCAACUGUCGUUGGUGCUGUAUUGGAGUACCAUGGUGUUAACGAGUAACGGAGAAUCAGGGUUUGACUCCGGAGAGGGAGCCUUAGAAACGGCUACCAUGUCUAAGGAUAGCAGCAGGCGCGAAAAUUACCCAAUGUCAAAAGGACGAGGUAGUGACGAGAAAUAACAAGACCGUUCUCUUUGAGGUCGGUCAUUGGAAUGAGUACAAUCCAGACACUUUAACGAGUAUCUACGAGAGGGCAAGUCUGGUGCCAGCAGCCGCGGUAAUUCCAGCUCUCGUAAGGUAUAGAAUUAUUGCUGUGGUUAAAAAGUUCGUAGUUGGAUGGUUAUGUUGACGCGGGGUCCACCGUUUUCGGUUGGUACUCGUUCGUCUUCGAUUUGUGUGUUCUUGUGCGUUGUUCGUUUCGGCGUUCAGCGUGCGCCACACAAGAUUACUUUGAACGGCUCAAGUGCUCAACGCACGUCUUAUGACUGAAUACCGGUGCAUAGAAUAAUGGAACAAGGCUUCGGCCGAGUUAUGCUGGUUUUGUCGGCUGAGGCAAUGGUUAACAGAAACAGCCGGUGGCAUUCGUAUCGUUACGCGAGAGGUGAAAUUCGUGGACCGUAGCGAGACGUACAAAAGCGAAGGCACUUGCCAAGAGUGUUUUCAUUAAUCAAGAACGAAAGUCAGAGGUUCGAAGGCGAUUAGAUACCGCUUUAGUUCUGACCGUAAACGCUGCCAACUGUCGAUCCGCUUGUGGAUUUUAUUCAUGAGCGGGGAGAUUCUCGGAAACGAAAGUUUUUCGGUUCCGGGGGAAGUAUGGUUGCAAAACUGAAACUUAAAGGAAUUGACGGAAGGGCACCACCAGGAGUGGAGCUUGCGGCUUAAUUUGACUCAACACGGGAAAUCUCACCCGGCCAGUACAUUGUAAGGAUUGACAGACUGAUAGCUCUUUCAUGAUUCGGUGAAUGGUGGUGCAUGGCCGUUCUUAGUUCGUGGAUUGAUUUGUCUGGUUUAUUCCGAUAACGAGCGAGACUUUGACUAUUAAAUAGUGCGAUUGUUCGUUUACGCUGCAAUCGAUACACUUCUUAAAAGAAUUUGGGGUUUCCAACCUCAAGAGAUUGAGCAAUAACAGGUCUGUGAUGCCCUUAGAUGUUCGGGGCCGCACGCGUGCUACAAUGAUGGUAACAGCGUGAUUGUCCUUUUCCGAAAGGAAUUGGCAAACAGUUGAGAUAUUAUUAUGGCUGGAAUUGAGAGUUGAAAUUUUCUCUCAUAAACGAGGAAUUCCAAGUAAAUGCGAGUCAUCAACUCGCAUUGAUUACGUCCCUGCCCUUUGUACACACCGCCCGUCGCUGCCCGGAACUGGGUUACCUCGAGAAAACUAGGGAUCGUUACGGUUUAGUAUUUCGGUACUGGCCGCGAUGAGAACGAGUUUAAUCGCGGUGGCCUGAACCGGGCAAAAGUCGUAACAAGGUAGCCGUAG